ACAGCAGUAGCCGCGGGAAUACGUAGGUCCCGAGCGUUGUCCGGAUUUAUUGGGCGUAAAGCGGGCGCAGGCGGUUAGAUAAGUCUGAAGUUAAAGGCUGUGGCUUAACCAUAGUACGCUUUGGAAACUGUUUAACUUGAGUGCAAGAGGGGAGAGUGGAAUUCCAUGUGUAGCGGUGAAAUGCGUAGAUAUAUGGAGGAACACCGGUGGCGAAAGCGGCUCUCUGGCUUGUAACUGACGCUGAGGCGCGAAAGCGUGGGGAGCAAACCGGAUUAGAUACCCCCGUAGUCCCUGUCUCUUAUACC
Molecule: ribosomal RNA, 305 nt
Filed under: uncultured bacterium
Lineage: Bacteria
Description: partial 16S ribosomal RNA
Rfam family: Bacterial small subunit ribosomal RNA
Source: RNAcentral